Myotis davidii is the source of this 75-nucleotide non-coding RNA. The record is from Rfam. Lineage: Eukaryota; Metazoa; Chordata; Mammalia; Chiroptera; Vespertilionidae.
UGCAGUUCUCAGGUGAAUCACCCUGGAAUCGGGCUCCCUCCUCUCUGAUUCCAGUUGUAUCACCUGAGAACACCC